RNAcentral lists this ribosomal RNA (646 nucleotides) under Oxystomina sp. BCA23. RNAcentral describes it as "eukaryotic LSU rRNA". It matches the Rfam family "Eukaryotic large subunit ribosomal RNA", at positions 406 to 901 of the family's 3401-position model. Lineage: Eukaryota; Metazoa; Nematoda; Enoplea; Enoplida; Oxystominidae. The record is from RNAcentral. RNAcentral also lists the same sequence under 1 other name.
CGCAUAGAAGUAAAGAGAUAGAGCUGCAAUGUCGCUCCCAAGAUUCAGCUUGACAGGCGUUUCGUUCUGUUGUCUCGAUCAUUUGACGAGGCAGUGGACCUGCUCGUGUCUGUUGAGUGCACUUCUUGGGAGUGAGCACUGCGACCGGUAUCUGUGCUGGUAGAAGCGUGGACAAUCGUGGGCGGACCCAUUCGGUAUCCGAUUCCCAUCGUCCAUUGCCUACCUGGUUGCGGAGACCGUGUAAUUCUGCGCCGGCUUGUCUCAGGGUGUAUGGUAAGGCGUCAACUGAAAGUCUGUAGUCAGCUUGCUGGCUAUGGUAACCCUUGGCGUCUAUACUGUGCUCCCCUGAAUUGGCGUAGAGUGUCUGCAGUGUAUGUGUCAGCCACCUAUCUCACCCGUCUUGAAACACGGACCAAGGAGUCUAACAUGUGCGCAAGUCAUUGGGUGGCAAACUCAAAGGCGUAAUGAAAGUAAUUAGCAGGAUCCCCGCAAGGGGCGCACUGCUGUCCUGUCUUAUAUGCAUUGUCAUUUAGGCAGCGAAAGAGCGUACCUGUUAGGACCCGAAAGAUGGUGAACUAUGCCUGAGCAGGAUGAAGCCAGAGGAAACUCUGGUGGAGGUCCGUAGCGAUUCUGACGUGCAAAUCGA